CAGUAGCCGCGGUAAUCCGAAGGGUGCAAGCGUUACUCGGAAUUACUGGGCGUAAAGCGUGCGUAGGCGGUGAGUUAAGUCUGCUGUGAAAUCCCCGGGCUCAACCUGGGAAUGGCAGUGGAUACUGGCUCGCUAGAGUGUGUCAGAGGAUGGUGGAAUUCCCGGUGUAGCGGUGAAAUGCGUAGAGAUCGGGAGGAACAUCAGUGGCGAAGGCGGCCAUCUGGGACAACACUGACGCUGAGGCACGAAAGCGUGGGGAGCAAACAGGAUUAGAUACCCCCGUAGUCCCUGUCUCUUAUAC
Molecule: ribosomal RNA, 301 nt
Filed under: uncultured bacterium
Lineage: Bacteria
Description: partial 16S ribosomal RNA
Rfam family: Bacterial small subunit ribosomal RNA
Source: RNAcentral